UGCAAGUCGAACGAAGUAGCAAUACUUAGUGGCAGACGGGUGAGUAACAUGUAGGUAUCUGCCCUUUGGCCUGGAAUAACACGAGGAAACUUGUGCUAAUACCGGAUAAGUCUUUACGGAGAAAGCUUUAUGCACCAUUGGAUGAGCCUGCACUUGAUUAGUUUGUUGGUGGGGUAAUGGCCUACCAAGACUGUGAUCAAUAGCUGAUUUGAGAGGAUGAUCAGCCACAUUGGGACUGAGACACGGCCCAAACUCCUACGGGAGGCAGCAGUGGGGAAUCUUGCACAAUGGAGGAAACUCUGAUGCAGCGAUGCCGCGUGAGUGAAGAAGGCCCUUGGGUUGUAAAGCUCUUUCGUCGGGGAAGAAAAUGACUGUACCCGAAUAAGAAGGUCCGGCUAACUUCGUGCCAGCAGCCGCGGUAAUACGAAGGGACCUAGCGUAGUUCGGAAUUACUGGGCUUAAAGAGUUCGUAGGUGGUUGAAAAAGUUAGUGGUGAAAUCCCAGAGCUUAACUCUGGAACUGCCAUUAAAACUUUUCAGCUAGAGUAUGAUAGAGGAAAGCAGAAUUUCUAGUGUAGAGGUGAAAUUCGUAGAUAUUAGAAAGAAUACCAAUUGCGAAGGCAGCUUUCUGGAUCAUUACUGACACUGAGGAACGAAAGCAUGGGUAGCGAAGAGGAUUAGAUACCCUCGUAGUCCAUGCCGUAAACGAUGUGUGUUAGACGUUGGAAAUUUAUUUUCAGUGUCGCA
RNAcentral lists this ribosomal RNA (746 nucleotides) under uncultured marine bacterium. RNAcentral describes it as "bacterial SSU rRNA". It matches the Rfam family "Bacterial small subunit ribosomal RNA", at positions 56 to 850 of the family's 1533-position model. The record is from RNAcentral.